RNAcentral lists this ribosomal RNA (441 nucleotides) under Triticum aestivum (bread wheat). RNAcentral describes it as "partial small subunit ribosomal RNA". The record is from RNAcentral. Lineage: Eukaryota; Viridiplantae; Streptophyta; Magnoliopsida; Poales; Poaceae.
AUGCAGUACAGGAUUUGGACUUCGGAUCGGAGAGCGCGACACGGCCUGCAGGAUGAGCCUUCCCCGUGUUACUUCUACCUGCAGGAUCAGGACGACACGGACCAUAUCUUGUCCAGCUGUACGUAUGCCAAAGAGGUCUGGUGCACACUUUGGGACACAUUCCACAUCAACAUCGGAGAUCAAGCGGUAGGGGAGUCCACCUUUCUUUGGUGGAUGAGAGUGAGGGUCAGCUUUCAGAAAGCGGAUAAGAGGGGUUUCGAUACUUUGUUCAUUGGGACUAUUUGGACCUUGUGGAAGCAACGGAACGCAAGGGUUUUCAACAGAGUUGAUCAACAACUGAGACCUAGGGAGGCAGCAAGGUGGAUCCUAGACGAGUUGGCAGAAUGGAAGCUUGCGGCGGGCGGUGUAGGAGGUUUACAAUGUUUUGUGAGAAUAGCCUAG